UACGAAGGGGGCUAGCGUUGCUCGGAAUCACUGGGCGUAAAGCGCACGUAGGCGGAUUGCUAAGUCAGGGGUGAAAUCCUGGAGCUCAACUCCAGAACUGCCUUUGAUACUGGCGAUCUUGAGUCCGGGAGAGGUGAGUGGAACUGCGAGUGUAGAGGUGAAAUUCGUAGAUAUUCGCAAGAACACCGGUGGCGAAGGCGGCAUCCUGGACCGGCAUUGACGCUGAGGAGCGAAAGCCAGGGGAGCAAACGGG
Molecule: ribosomal RNA, 253 nt
Filed under: uncultured bacterium
Lineage: Bacteria
Description: partial 16S ribosomal RNA
Rfam family: Bacterial small subunit ribosomal RNA
Source: RNAcentral